UAAGAACCGAGUUGUGCUUGUCUUAUUACUUUCAGAUUAAGAACUGAGUUUCCAUUGCAUAUAUACACGCCGGAUUAAGAACCGAGUUGUGUUGCCUUUACAUGAUGUUAAUAAUAUAUUCUGUUCACAGGGUUUCCUGAUAAGCACAUUGUACCUGAAUCUUGUGGUAUCCAUGGUAGUGUAAUUAAUGUGAUAUCCACAAAUGAAGUGAUUUCCGUCACUUAAAGUGUGAGUCAUAAUUAUAAUGAUUACUUUAAUGUCUGCUAUACAUUUAGCACUUUGAUUAUUGUUUCUUAAGUAGUUCUGUUUAUGCAAUGCAGGCCUAAGGAGGCGGACCAUGUGCAUAAGACCUAUUAUUGUGAUGCAGGUCUUUGGAGACGGACCAUCAUGUGUUCUGUAGACUAUCCCUAAGAGGCUAGUUCUGUUUCUGGUAUUUGUGAUGCAGGUCUUUGGAGACGGACCAUCAUGUGUUAUAUAGUAUAUCUUUAAGAGGUUAGCUUGAGACCUUGUUUGUCAAAAGCAUGUUUAUUGACCUUAAAGAGUAGUGAUCUCAAGGUUACCUUGAAAGGGUUGCUUGCACUAAUACUUUCCAGAGGUUGCUGGUGGAAUUACGGUUUCCAAUAGAGUGCAUGCUACAGGCUGCGCGACAACCUUGUCAUGAAGGGCCAACGUCUGCGGUCGUUGCGCCGCCAGCCUCGAAAGCAGCCGUAUCACCGUGGCUUGCGUAUGAAGCUUUGAUAUGAGCUUUUUAAUAAGAGCUUUCUUGCUGCUUGCUGUGUUAGAAGGCGGCUAUGCUCACGCAUGGAGUGUGUCAUGUUCACCUCUCACGAGUUUGAUGUACGCGUUGUUGUGCGUGCGGGGAGCUUCACAGCCUACAGUGACGGAGCCAACUGUGAGUUUGUUCCAUGUAUUUGCUAUUUAAACGACGCCAAUCAUCAUUAUUAUAUUGAGCGGUUGGUUAGUUUGGAAUGCACCGCUCAC
Leguminivora glycinivorella is the source of this 981-nucleotide long non-coding RNA. RefSeq lists it as uncharacterized. The transcript has 2 exons. NCBI's taxonomy places the organism in Eukaryota, Metazoa, Arthropoda, Insecta, Lepidoptera, Tortricidae. The record is from RefSeq and is a predicted model, not a curated record.